UGGUGAAUCAUAAUAACUUAACGAAUCGCAUGGCCUUGCGCCGGCGAUGGUUCAUUCAAAUUUCUGCCCUAUCAACUUUCGAUGGUAGGAUAGUGGCCUACCAUGGUGGCAACGGGUAACGGGGAAUUAGGGUUCGAUUCCGGAGAGGGAGCCUGAGAAACGGCUACCACAUCCAAGGAAGGCAGCAGGCGCGCAAAUUACCCAAUCCCGACACGGGGAGGUAGUGACAAUAAAUACUGAUACGGGGCUCUUUUGGGUCUCGUAAUUGGAAUGAGUACAAUCUAAAUCCCUUAACGAGGAACAAUUGGAGGGCAAGUCUGGUGCCAGCAGCCAGGGAUAUAUUAUUCUUGUCUCUUAAAUACGAGCCACCCCAUUUUACUUUUUUUAGCAAUCUAUACUCAGAAUAUUAAAUCUAAUACAACGAAAGAAAGGAGAAUGUUGCCAGAUAGACUAAGAGAGCUAUCAGUAACAGAAGGAAACAUACUUAAUCACAAAUUUACACACUACCAGUAGUAUCAUUAUAAUGCCACGAUAGGCGAGCACAAAUAUGUCAAAAGCUCGAAACAUAAGUCGCAGUAAGGCAACCUAACAUCCGCUUGAAC
Molecule: ribosomal RNA, 602 nt
Filed under: Aspergillus niger
Lineage: Eukaryota; Fungi; Ascomycota; Eurotiomycetes; Eurotiales; Aspergillaceae
Description: bacterial SSU rRNA
Rfam family: Eukaryotic small subunit ribosomal RNA (bases 1-359)
Source: RNAcentral